RNAcentral lists this unclassified non-coding RNA (370 nucleotides) under uncultured bacterium. RNAcentral's name for it is "contains 16S-23S intergenic spacer region". The record is from RNAcentral.
UCCGGCUUGUCACCGGCAGUCCCUCCAGAGUGCCCAACUUAGUGAUGGCAACUAAAGGCGAGGGUUGCGCUCGUUGCGGGACUUAACCCAACAUUUCACAACACGAGCUGACGACAGCCAUGCACCACCUGGGCACCACCCUCAAGGGCGACGGUCUUUCAACCGCUUGCAGGUGCCUGUCAAGCCCUGGUAAGGUUCUUCGCGUUGCAUCGAAUUAAGCCACAUGCUCCACCGCUUGUGCGGGCCCCCGCCAAUUCCUUUGAGUUUCAACCUUGCGGCCGUAGUCCCCAGGCGGUUCACUUAAUGCGUUAGCUGCGGCACCGCGUUGAAAACGCGACACCUAGUGAACAUAGUUUAGGGCCAAGACUAC